This 67-nucleotide transfer RNA is filed under the name Megacopta lobata. RNAcentral describes it as "tRNA-Asp". It matches the Rfam family "tRNA". From Rfam's summary of the family: Transfer RNA (tRNA) molecules are approximately 80 nucleotides in length. The record is from RNAcentral. Lineage: Eukaryota; Metazoa; Arthropoda; Insecta; Hemiptera; Plataspidae.
GAGAAGUUAGUUUUAAAUAAUAAAACAUUAACUUGUCAAGUUAAAGAUGUUAUAAUAACACUUCUCC